UUUGAGAUUAUUGCCUUAAUUCAUUUAGGGAUUUGAUCUUUCAAAUCUUAGCGUUACGUUUGUCCUCAUGGUUAGGUAGAAAUAUUUGUGUGCUGACAGGCAAUAGGAACAGAUCUACAGAAGUGAAUCUCAUUAAUGGCUUGACUGGUUGAUUUGCAACUUUCUGUUACACAGAAAAUUAAACAGGGAGAUUUGUAAUAUGAGUUAAUUGCAACAUUCAAAACCCCAGACUUUAUAAAUUGUUCACUGACAUCAGAUCCCAGUCCUGAAUAUCUUUAGCUGAACAAUAGAAAGAGUUAUACCCUGGGAAGUCCAUUUUUGAGUAGAUUUUUGUUUGGAUACACAAAACUGUGAAGUAGACCCCAUGAUUUCAGCCUUGCUACUUUAUACAUCCACCCAGCCUGCUCUGCCCAGACACCCACCAUAAAGACAGCACCUCCUGGGCUGCAGACUGCAGGCGUGGUGCUGUCACCAGCAGCAAUGAAGGGACUGCCUGUCCUUAGCAAUAUGCAAGCAGCACAAGAGGGUGCUGGUGGCAUGGCACCCACCCCUGUGUUUUGUCCUGGUGGCGUUGUGUACAUUGGGCACCCAGCAUUGCCCUCCCCGUGGCACGGUGUGCUGUGAUGGCCGGGAGGAGAGGUGGCCACGCCAGGUCCGUGCCUGCCUGCCUGCAGCAUCCUCGAGCCCAAUGGGCUGAGUCACAGCCCCAAAUGUACGGGGAGCUGCAGCCUGGGAGUAAAUUGUUCUGUUGCCUGCUGGAGAAAAGCUGUAUGCCAGCUGCCCUUUAAAAUGUUCUGGCAGUCAUGGGUGUGGAAUAUAAAUUCUCCAUUUCAUUUCAUAGUUCUUUUCCUUGCUGAUCUCUUUUAGUUCUUUACUAAUCUUUUUAUUGUCUUUCAGAGUACAGAGACUUUCUUGAGUGUUUAUUAAAUGCAUGGAGAGGAAAAAACUACCCAGCGUGAGUACAAAACAGAUGCAUGUGUAUCCCGAGAUGAGUGCAUUAUGGAUAAAGAACUAUUAUCAUUCUUCCCGCAUUCAUGUUUCCAUCUACUUACGAGAUAUAUACGUGUGCCUUGUUAGCAAUGAUGUUAUAAUGCAAAAGCUGAAGUUUUCAUAUCGGAGGAAACAUAUAUUGUUAAAUGAACUGAGAACAUUCUCCCAAGGCUGUUCAAUUACUAACCCGUAGUGCUGGUUGGAAAACCAAAUAUCUAUUCUCCAGGGUAGCUACAUUGUACUCCAACAUUUGAAGAUUUGGUUUCUUUUAUAAUUGGAAUGAAAUAUUGAAUUUUUUUUGGAAAGGAAUUCUCUUGCUCUUCCAUCUGAAUACUAGCUGAACAUGCUCAUGUACGUAUGCAUUGUGUAUUUAAUAUACAAAUGCUGUAAUAACAAACUUGGAAACAAAAUUA
Molecule: long non-coding RNA, 1403 nt
Filed under: Anser brachyrhynchus (Pink-footed goose)
Lineage: Eukaryota; Metazoa; Chordata; Aves; Anseriformes; Anatidae
Description: lncRNA (ENSABRG00000014929.1)
Source: RNAcentral